CAGUAGCCACGGGAAUACGAAGGGUGCAAGCGUUACUCGGAAUUACUGGGCGUAAAGCGUGCGUAGGUGGUGGUUUAAGUCCGUUGUGAAAGCCCUGGGCUCAACCUGGGAAUUGCAGUGGAUACUGGGUCACUAGAGUGUGGUAGAGGAUAGUGGAAUUUCCGGUGUAGCAGUGAAAUGCGUAGAGAUCGGAAGGAACAUCUGUGGCGAAGGCGACUAUCUGGGCCAACACUGACACUGAGGCACGAAAGCGUGGGGAGCAAACAGGAUUAGAGACCCGAGUAGUCCCUGUCUCUUAUAC
Molecule: ribosomal RNA, 301 nt
Filed under: uncultured bacterium
Lineage: Bacteria
Description: partial 16S ribosomal RNA
Rfam family: Bacterial small subunit ribosomal RNA
Source: RNAcentral